CUUAAACAAACCUGGUUCUUCAACGGUGUUAACAAGUGUCGAGCAGAUUUCUUGUCGAAGAGUUAGCUGCUAUAGAGAGAUCACGUCAAUCAAUAAAUCAAGUUUGCAACGAUUUGACCGAGGUGAUGCCAUUGGAGGAGGCCCAAUGAGGAAGAUGCCAAUGCCCUGAAAAUGGGCUAUAGCAGCAGGAUGCCGCCUCACUCGAAAGUAUCACUUCGGGCGAGGUGUCAAAGGGGUUCGCCCAACUACCCAAUUGCCUUGGAGGGCACAUUUAAAAAGACGAGGCAAAGCAAAGUACAGACCUUGAGUGGCCUCUUGCUUUGCUUUUGCUUAGCUGAAAACCUCGAAGGCUGAGGCGUAACAAAAACUAUGGAAUCAUGAAUCCUAGAGCCAAGCAUCCUCGAGUUGAAUAGCAAUAUAUUCCAGUCUUUAUCCCCAUCUUCUUGAGGAUCCAACGCAAUGGUGAAUCAAUUAUGAUUUCACUUUUCAUUACUCGGCAAAUCCUCUAAAUAAGGAGGCAUCAGUUUUUCAAUACUUGAAUGCAAUUUCUUUGAUAUUUUCUCUCAUCUUCAAGUUCAAGUCCACCAGUAAGGGACAGUAGCCUGAUUUCUGAAUCAGCCCUUUCUACGGCCAGUUGAGGCGAAGUGCGAAUUUGAACCUAAUUUGUAAUGGGCAGGACAAAGCUAAAAUGUGCCUGUAAGUUUCGUUUGAGCAUUUCGAGCUUUG
This 726-nucleotide long non-coding RNA is filed under the name Olea europaea subsp. europaea. Lineage: Eukaryota; Viridiplantae; Streptophyta; Magnoliopsida; Lamiales; Oleaceae. The record is from RNAcentral.